GCAGGUGGGAGUGCGACAGUCCCCAACUACCAAUGGGAUCAUGUAACUUUUUGCCCCAACCAGUCUUCCAUCAUCCGAACAAUGGGUGGGCUUUCUUGCUUACAUAUCAGAAUGAAGCUUCACAGCAAGUUCAACUUUCCAUUCUCAGUCACAGGGCAGGAGAGUACACAGGAAAGGAAUGUCCAAAAAUAGUAUUCACAUUCUAGGGAUGGUGGCACAGAAGCAACAGAAAGGAAUUGCAUAUUUAAAUGACCUGCUGAAGGACUGUGAUGUUCCUGCUUAUAGUGUAAAUAUGAUGAUGGGGCCCCUAUAUCCCUCAGCUUCUUUGUGGAAAUAAGAAUGACCAAGCACACAAUCAGCACAAUUUUCCAGAUGAAGUUUGUUGUGUGACAAUGAGGAACAGAGCCUUCCUUGUGGUAACACCCCCGCUCUAGAAUGCUGUCCCUGUAGGGAUGUGACUGGCAUCAACAUUACAAUCAUUUCAGAGUUGAGUCGAAACUAAUUUACCCAGGCAUUUUAAAGCUUUAAAGCUGGUA
Long non-coding RNA from Rhineura floridana, 536 nucleotides. RefSeq lists it as uncharacterized. Lineage: Eukaryota; Metazoa; Chordata; Lepidosauria; Squamata; Rhineuridae. The transcript is spliced from 3 exons. The record is from RefSeq and is a predicted model, not a curated record.